UCCUCGCUGGCUGUGUGUUUACAGAAUAAUCCUAGGAUCUAAGCUCUGCUCCAGAGACUGACUGGCAGAAGCCUUUACUACCACUGAGCUAAAAUACUUCUAAAUGUUCUGCCGCUUUCUCCUUGGGCCCCGUAGUCCUGGUGACAGACUGCCCAGGGUGCACAGAUUGGAGCCUUUUAGGAACGUGCUCCUUGGGAAAAGGUUUCACUGACCUGCCACCAGCCUCUGAUGUGUGCAUGGUGGUGAGCUAAUGGGUUAGAUUAGGAAGCUGUUAAUGAAGCCAAACUCGGAUCUGGAGGAUUUCACAUGUGAACUGGAAGAUGAACUCUCAAGGAAGCAUCCAAAUCCUUUCUCCAGAGUAAAGGGUGCCCUGAGGGCUCUUAUGAACUGACAUCUCUUUUGCCCUGUAGCCCUGGCUUUCUUCUGUGUCCUUACUGCCUCUGCAGUGCCCAUUGCCUCUGAGGAUGGAUGGCAACUUCUGCAGCCCUAACCUGAACAUAGRGCCUGAUCCAAAACCCGGAGGAGUCAGUGGAAAGCUGGGCUUGAGCACAGCACAAACCAACACACGUUUAUUAUGCUCCCCUCCUGCCUGUCGGUCCUCUCCCCACACAGCACCUAAAUAUGCAAGAAUUCUGGUUUCCAACCACUGGCUGAACGAAGAUGCAGCCACGAGACAGAGGAGAGACGGGAAGAUACGCUCACACCCCUCCCUGAGCUGGUCUGGUCCGUGGUGUUGUGUAACGCGGGGCUGGAUGACACGGCAGAGAAAG
RNAcentral lists this long non-coding RNA (770 nucleotides) under Dromaius novaehollandiae (emu). RNAcentral describes it as "lncRNA (ENSDNVG00000010856.1)". The record is from RNAcentral. Lineage: Eukaryota; Metazoa; Chordata; Aves; Casuariiformes; Dromaiidae.